AAGACAAAUCAUAAUGACCUUUAUAAUAUGGGCUAUAAACGUACUAUAAAAAAAUAAUAAUAAAAUUAUAAAAUUAUAUAUAUAUAUAUAAUAUAUAAAAAUUAAUAAUAAAAAAUAUUUUAAACUUUAAUAUAAUUAUAUAUUAUAAAUAAUAUGAAUUAUAAUAUGAAACUCUAUUAUAUGAAAAAAGAAUUACUAGUAAUACGUUAUAAAUAAAAUAACGGUG
This 226-nucleotide ribosomal RNA is filed under the name Naumovozyma dairenensis. RNAcentral describes it as "partial small subunit ribosomal RNA". The record is from RNAcentral. Lineage: Eukaryota; Fungi; Ascomycota; Saccharomycetes; Saccharomycetales; Saccharomycetaceae.